GGUUGGUUGGUGUAGUUGGUUAUCACGUGCCCUUCACAGGCGAAUGUUUUCUUCGACCUCUGGAACCGGGCAAGGUCGCGAGUUCGAGCCUCGCACCGAUCA
Molecule: transfer RNA, 102 nt
Filed under: Rhodotorula toruloides
Lineage: Eukaryota; Fungi; Basidiomycota; Microbotryomycetes; Sporidiobolales; Sporidiobolaceae
Description: tRNA-Val
Source: RNAcentral